RNAcentral lists this transfer-messenger RNA (314 nucleotides) under Teichococcus cervicalis. RNAcentral's name for it is "Roseomonas cervicalis transfer-messenger RNA". It matches the Rfam family "Alphaproteobacteria transfer-messenger RNA". Rfam says of the family: Bacterial tmRNA, also known as 10Sa RNA or SsrA, is named for its dual tRNA and mRNA-like properties. The record is from RNAcentral. Lineage: Bacteria; Pseudomonadati; Pseudomonadota; Alphaproteobacteria; Acetobacterales; Roseomonadaceae.
GCCCUCGAUUUCCGCGGCGGGGCGGCCUAUAUCGGGGAUGUCGUCCUCGGACGACUAUGGCGAUAAACGGUGUGUAGAAUAAGCGUUGCGGACCCGGGGGCAGUACCCGGCGUCUCCACCAUCAUCCCUGCGGGGAUCUGUGGGGACGACACAGGCUCGACGCGCGCGGUAAAGGCACAUCUUUUGCCCGGCAUUGUACCGCCGUUAUCGGGCUAAAUCACAAGUGCCAACGAUAACAGCCGCGAGGCUGUGGCGCUCGCUGCCUAAUAGGUAAGCGCGGUCCGGGGGGAACCGGGCAACAGAAUCCCCCCACU